Molecule: ribosomal RNA, 256 nt
Filed under: uncultured bacterium
Lineage: Bacteria
Description: partial 16S ribosomal RNA
Rfam family: Bacterial small subunit ribosomal RNA
Source: RNAcentral
UACGAAGGGGGCUAGCGUUGCUCGGAAUCACUGGGCGUAAAGCGCACGUAGGCGGAUUGCUAAGUCAGGGGUGAAAUCCUGGAGCUCAACUCCAGAACUGCCUUUGAUACUGGCGACCUUGAGUCCGGGAGAGGUGAGUGGAACUGCGAGUGUAGAGGUGAAAUUCGUAGAUAUUCGCAAGAACACCAGUGGCGAAGGCGGCUCACUGGCCCGGUACUGACGCUGAGGUGCGAAAGCGUGGGGAGCAAACAGGGAU